Molecule: ribosomal RNA, 207 nt
Filed under: uncultured bacterium
Lineage: Bacteria
Description: partial 16S ribosomal RNA
Rfam family: Bacterial small subunit ribosomal RNA
Source: RNAcentral
CACGUAGGCGGACUAUUAAGUCAGAGGUGAAAUCCCAGGGCUCAACCCUGGAACUGCCUUUGAUACUGGUAGUCUCGAGUUCGAGAGAGGUGAGUGGAAUUCCGAGUGUAGAGGUGAAAUUCGUAGAUAUUCGGAGGAACACCAGUGGCGAAGGCGGCUCACUGGCUCGAUACUGACGCUGAGGUGCGAAAGUGUGGGGAGCAAACA